AAGCACGUUAUUCAACAUCAGCAAAAAGAAUGCAGCUUUUUUUGAACUGAACUUCCUUUUACGUUGUCCAUAUAAAUAGUUGUAUGAGAACGAUGGGUAAUAGCAACUUUAGAAAGAAAAAGAAAAGAACGUUUCAUUCUCUAAAAGAAAGAUUCCAAGUCAUUGCCAAAGAGAAUCUUAUAUAAAGAACUAUGCAAAUAAAGGGAAAACAUUACUUGCAGAAGAUAUUGAACUGUUAAAAAAUUGUAGCCAGUAUUUCCCAGAAUGCAAAGGUUAUUUCGGCACAUUCGAAGCCAUGUAUGUGAUGAGUAAAAAGAAAGGUUUGGUUAUAAUAGUUAGCCUCUCAGACAUCGAAACGCAUGGCCGUUGAGGAUAUUACUUACAACUACAAAAUGAUAUCGAGGCAAAUGUCAAAUAUUUGGUCAAAGAAAACAAAGAUCAAGUAUAAUGUGUACGCACGCCUCGGGUUUACCUACAACUUUACAAUAACUUCAUUGCCGGACAGAGAAUCGUUAAACUUGAAAACAAAGGCUCCCAGUUCUUGCGAACUACAAGUCCUCCAACAAAUUGCCAAACGCAAGGAAAGUUAUAUUUAUUUCUCAUUUUUCUACUCUUCCCAGAUAUUUCUUUGACAUAAAUGUUUCAUAUAGGAUUAUCGAAAGAAGACGAAUUCUUUAAGGACUGUCCAGUUCCAGAUUACCACUCAAGAAAAUUUAUUGCAGAAAAGAUAUGUAACAUGCACCCUGAAGAUGCCUCAAAACGUUUGGUAAUGACGAAGGAAGGAAUGCAAGUUGACUCUGUUGGAACAAAACUUUCUAGCUACUGCUGAUUCAAAUCAUUGAGAGAGCUAAAUUUAUUUAACACCUGAACAGGGUGAAGUGUUUCAGAACCUAACACAUUUUACGUUGCAUCUACUUUAAUUAAGAUCAGAUGGUGUUAUAGUGAUUUUGAUAUUUCUUCACAGAUGUAUCAAACAUUUGAUAACCAUAUAACCGAUCUGAAGUCUGUACGUCAAAUGUGCGAGUCAACUCCAUUAAGAAGGUUUUUUUUCCUUAAGAACUAAAUAUAGUUUGCGAUUUCAUUUCAUGAAUUUUUUUAUAAUAGCUUAUGCAAGAAGCUAUUAUAAAAUCUUUUAACCAAUUUAUUUUUAAAAUAUUGCUAUAUCUAUGCCAUGUUGUAUUAUUACUAGUCGGUUGCCCAUGGCUAAGCUACUAUUUUGCGCGACAGACGGACAGACAAACGUAUAUGGGUAUUAUAAUCUAGACUAGUGCAAAAAUCCACGGGGUCGCCCGUCCUUUAUAUAUCGCCUUUCGUGUUUCCGUAACAGGACGCGUCUUUCGCGGACAGACAGACAGAAAACGGCUAUUAUUAAAGAGAUUAGUCGAUGAAGACCCGUGGAGAAAUCCACUUAGGCAGAAGCACAAUAAAAAAAUAGGUUGUUUUAGAUUUUUUGCUGACGUGAGCAGUGCAGGUACAAAAAACCGGCGAAAUUUAGUUUAUUCGUUGCCUGUAAAAUGUAGAGGUUGAACCGCUGAUCAAAAUAAUGUAGAGGAUCAUAUAUUUUCGACAAACGCUUAAGCACAUAUAAGGUUUUAAAAAUGUUGCUGGCGUCAGCAAUGGUCCGUCAAAACCCAAAAAAUUGUGAAGAAUAUAAUCCACUUUGCAAAAGUGACAGACUGACACACGGAACUGGCGUAUUAUUAUAUAAGACUAGUCGAUAAAGCCCGUGGAAAAAUCCACUGAGACAGGAUAAAAAUGAAAAAGAAGGGUCAUUUGAACGUUGAUGACGUCAGCAAUCCAUUCACACACAAAAAUAAUUCAAACUUUGUUUUCACGUUGCCUCUAUUGUGUAAAGCUUAAAGCAGUGAUCAAGAAAAUGUAUAUUGUAUACACAUAUGUAUACACAUAAAAUGUAUACACAUUAAAUAUGCUAAAAAAGCGUUUUAAUUGGUUUAAAAGAGAUUAUUAAUCUCAAAGGUGAAAUCAAAAAAUUCGGAACAGUUUUUCAAAAAUUGCAAUCGACAAGUCUGACCUCGCUAUAAAAAUUUAACUUCUUUAAGUCAUAAAAGCCAACCUUAAGAAAAUUAAAAAGGAACUGGAUUACUUUUCUGUCAUCAACAAAAUCCUUAGUGGAAUUAUUGGCCAUAAUUUAAUUCCAAAUGUAGUUUGUAAAAUAUAUAGGCCAAUAGCUUUUCUGAUUGAUAUCAUUGAUGAAGUCUUGUUCCAUGGAUAAUCAGUAAUUUAAAAAUUUGUGAUGAGCUAAAAUGUUUAAAAAAAAUUUUUAUUUACGAAAAGUUUCAGAUAGUUUACAAAGGUUUCCAGAUUUUUGUACAUAUGUGCGCCAAUUUUGUUAUGUAAAAAGUAGGACCAAAAGCGGGAAUUAAUUUUUUCAAGAAAUAUUUUUUAUAACAACUAAAAUUUUAUAAGAACUAAUUGUUGGCAAAGUUAGCAAGUCCUAGUAUCACAUGAGAAUUGAACUUUUCAAAUUUGGCAGAAAAAAGUAUGUAUAUAUUUUUCUCAUCAAUUUAUACUGCUUUUAUGGGCUUUUAUGUACGUCCUUUUAUGUCAUGAUAGAUAUUAAACCAAACUUUACAUGGUGUACAGCCUCUUUAAAAUUGCUUUGUCUACUACCAAGUUGAAAACCUUUGUCCUUGAUUUUCAUGAAAAGGUUAUACUAUUCAUUUCGGGUCAUAGAAUGUAACAACAUCUCAGAUACACUUUAGGGUAUGGAUUUUAAAAUAUCUUAGCCUGUCUAUUUUGUUUUUUCUUGUUUAGCAGCUAACACCUGUAAUAUAUCGUCUUAUAUUGUCUAGGUGAAUGUAAUAAAAUUCGUAAAAGAAAAACUAUUACAAACCGUCCAGCCCCCAUAGCUGUUGUUUAAGUAUUAGUGACUUCCAUAAAAUACACGUUUCUUUUAAAUUUGAAGAUCUAUAAUAACUUGAAAGUUGA
Long non-coding RNA from Hydractinia symbiolongicarpus, 2949 nucleotides. RefSeq lists it as uncharacterized. The record is from RefSeq and is a predicted model, not a curated record. NCBI's taxonomy places the organism in Eukaryota, Metazoa, Cnidaria, Hydrozoa, Anthoathecata, Hydractiniidae. The transcript is spliced from 7 exons.